Molecule: long non-coding RNA, 371 nt
Organism: Astatotilapia calliptera (eastern happy)
Lineage: Eukaryota; Metazoa; Chordata; Actinopteri; Cichliformes; Cichlidae
Source: Ensembl
UUUAGGUGUUCAUUCACUGGGUGCUAAGGAGUCUAAUUCAACACAUUGCUGGUGUUGUUUGUCUGUCGACCGUUACAGCGCCUAUCUGUGUUUCUUUCUUGGACUCCGACAUGUAGGAGGUGGCCAAGAUGUUGAUAAAAGUAAAACACAGAGAGACAAAGAAAUAUGCAAAAUUGGAAGAAGUCAGCUUCACAGAUUUUGUGAGAGCAGUGCAGCAGAAGUUUCUCAUACCAGAAAAUGCAGCACUGAAAGUCACGGAUGAGCAGGGUAUAGAGGUGGAUGAGGAUAUCUUUCCUGAACUUGCAGCAGUCAAAGAGGUGUGUUUUGUCAUCUAUACAGCUGAAGACAUCCUGGAAACACAAUCAUCCAAG